Ictalurus furcatus (blue catfish) is the source of this 2119-nucleotide long non-coding RNA. RefSeq lists it as uncharacterized. Lineage: Eukaryota; Metazoa; Chordata; Actinopteri; Siluriformes; Ictaluridae. The transcript is spliced from 3 exons. The record is from RefSeq and is a predicted model, not a curated record.
GCUUUAAGAUCUGAAGGCGGGACGAGCGCUGUGAUUGGCUAGUUCGAAGCUUACUCGAGCUUUACCCGAUAUUAGCCCCGCCCACUUUACAUGGAAGGGGAGAAACUGUGGAUAAGUACAUGAAGACUUUAAAAGUUCCUGAUUAAUCGGAAUUUUAUACUUCGAGGGGUUUUUAUUAGUUUAGUUUCCUGUUGGUUUCUCUUUAAGGGGAAGUGAGCGAGUGAGCAAGUGAGCGAGUGGUCGAGGGUGUGUCUGAGAGCGAGAGAAAGUUGCUGCUUUUCUGUGAGGAGGACGAGAGGGCGAGAGGAGGAACGAUGUGUGUGUGUGUGUGUGUGUGUGUGUGUGUGUGUGUGUGUGUGUGUGUAAAAAUGGACAAGGCCACUAUCACAGCACCUUAUAAGGCAGUGUUUCUCCCUACUGCUCACACACACACACACACACACAAUAAGUGAGGGAAUGAGGGAGUGAGGGGGAAGGGAGAUAAAGAGAAUGAGGGAAGGAGGAGAGUCAGAAAAAAGAGCGAGAACUGUGGUGGAAGGACGGAAAGAUGGAGGAAAAAUAAAAAGGUAUAAAGGAGAGGAAGAAAGAGGGAAUAGCAAGAAUAGAGCAUAGAAAAAGAUAGGAAAAGCUGUAAAAAGAAAUGAAACAAGGUAGAAAGGAGAGAAAGAAUAAGAACAUAGAGAGAAAAAGAAUAGAGAGAAAAAAGUAAAGAGAGAGAGAGAAGGAAUAGAGAAGGGGGACAAGGAGAAAAAAAAGAUGGAGAAAGAUGGAGAGGGACACAGAGAGGCACAGAAAGAGAGAGAGAGAGAGAGAGAGAGAGACAAAGAAAGAAGAGACAGAAAAACAGAGAAACAGCAAGACAGAGAAAGAGAGAGAGAGAGUGAGAGAGAGAAAAGGGGAAACUGGUGGGUGGACAUUAAUUGACCAGAUUAAUGUUCCAUAGAGAUGUGCAUCAGGGAAAAGUCACAAAGACCCCAAAGCAUCGAAUUUCUUGUAGCGAGUCGUCCAAAGCCAGGAUUUCUGUUCUGGAGCGUCUGAGACGGAACCUGAUGUUAACAGCGCACGGUGUAUGGAUCGUUAGCGAGCCCAUUCCCCGCCCCUGAGCUAUACCUGCUUUACCAAGGUCGAUAUCACGCUAACAGUCCAUGAUCAAAUCUGUGUCUGUGCCUGCCACACACACACACACACACACACACGGAGAGAGAAACUGCACAGUAAGACACUCUUUUAUUCACAGAGUGAUCUACAGCUCAGUCUGUAAAGUCUCGCACACGCAGCUCAGCACUUUCACUCCUCCGAGCUCAACAGAGCCGUCAUGGUUCAGUGAGAAACGCUUAUUCAGCUCAUUCGACACAAGACAUAGCGUGAGAGAGAGAGAGAGUGAGAGAGACACACACACACACACACACACACACACACACACUUCACUGCGAGCUGAAUAUGAUUAAGCACUAAAUUUACCCUGGGGCUAAUUAAAUAAUUAGAUAAUUUCCCUGACAUUCAUCCCGAUUUCCCCUUUAAUAUCGUUAAGGAUUAGAUUGGACCGCUUGCUCUUCAGAUCAGAUCAGACGGCAUGCUUGCUUCUUUAGUUUUUCCACUAGAGCUACGAAGAGCUACGAAGCGGAGAGCGCCCUCUAGAGGAGAAAUAAAUAUGAUCGCUGGCUAAUUUUGCCGUGUUAUUUCAAGUGUUUGAUUCAUUUCGGACAUCUCUAUUUUCGGUUGCUGUUUGGAGUGUUAGUUUUCGGUUCAGUUUGAAUGUAUAGAUCUUUCAUCGACUUUAAUAUCUAUUAAUAGUUGAUUUGUAUGUAUAUUAAUAUUGAUAUAUUUAUUUCAUUUAAAAGAGCACAGUACAUUUUCACGGUACAGUCAGUAGUUUAUUUCUGUAAUAAAGUUCAGUAAUAUUUUACUCUGAGCGUUAUGUUUUCAUUCAGUGUCCGUGUUAAAGACUAUCGGUCGAUGAAUCGGUUAUCGGCAGGCAGAUACCGACCGACUCAGUUAUCGGUAAAACCCACCAUCGGUCCGUCUCUAGCAUCAUGCAGCUGGAGUCGGGUCGGAUGUGUGGCCCAAACACACGCGAUAAUGUAGUUUACAUUGCGGGUGUCCGAUAUGACCAUAAAAA